GGACCCAUAGGUUAAAAAUGAAACAUUUGGACUAAACUGGUAAAAUGGCCCAAACCACAGGGACUAAAAUGGCAUUUAACUCAAUGAUGUAUUUUCUAACAUAAAAUUUAGAGUUAAAUGCCAUUUCAGUUCCUGUGGUUUGGGCCAUUUUGCGAGUUUAGUCCAAAGGUUUCAUUUUUUUGCCUGUGGGUCC
Molecule: microRNA precursor, 193 nt
Filed under: Helianthus annuus (common sunflower)
Lineage: Eukaryota; Viridiplantae; Streptophyta; Magnoliopsida; Asterales; Asteraceae
Source: RNAcentral